GCGAUCCACUCAUUUCUGUAUUCUUUGUUGCUUCUUUACCAGAUCCAAACAAGUCUGGCAGCGAAGAAGUCGCCCUGAAUUGUCAAUCAGCAAAUGAUGCAAUGGGAGUGAGCAUAUAGUGAAAUGCAUGCCAAAACGACCUGUAAGGCCA
Corticium candelabrum is the source of this 151-nucleotide long non-coding RNA. RefSeq lists it as uncharacterized. The record is from RefSeq and is a predicted model, not a curated record. The transcript is spliced from 3 exons. Lineage: Eukaryota; Metazoa; Porifera; Homoscleromorpha; Homosclerophorida; Plakinidae.